AUUGAACGCUGGCGGCAGGCCUAACACAUGCAAGUCGAGCGAGCGGAGGACGGGUGAGUAAUGUCUGGGAAACUGCCUGAUGGAGGGGGAUAACUACUGGAAACGGUCGCUAAUACCGCAUAAAAUCAGAUGUGCGCAGAUGGGAUUAGCUAGGAGGUGGGGUAACGGCUCACCUAGGCGACGAUCCCUAGCUGGUCUCAGAGGAUGACCAGCCACACUGGAACUGAGACACGGUCCAGACUCCUACGGGAGGCAGCAGUGGGGAAUAGUGCACAAUGGGCGCAAGCCUGAUGCAGCCAUGCCGCGUGUAUGAAGAAGGCCUUCGGGUUGUAAAGUACUUUCAGCGGGGAGGCGUUACCCGCAGAAGAAGCACCGGCUAACUCCGUGCCAGCAGCCGCGGUAAUUC
RNAcentral lists this ribosomal RNA (406 nucleotides) under uncultured bacterium. RNAcentral describes it as "partial 16S ribosomal RNA". It matches the Rfam family "Bacterial small subunit ribosomal RNA", at positions 30 to 526 of the family's 1533-position model. The record is from RNAcentral.